RNAcentral lists this ribosomal RNA (245 nucleotides) under uncultured Syntrophococcus sp. RNAcentral's name for it is "partial 16S ribosomal RNA". It matches the Rfam family "Bacterial small subunit ribosomal RNA", at positions 524 to 768 of the family's 1533-position model. The record is from RNAcentral. Lineage: Bacteria; Bacillati; Bacillota; Clostridia; Lachnospirales; Lachnospiraceae.
UACGUAGGGGGCAAGCGUUAUCCGGAUUUACUGGGUGUAAAGGGAGCGCAGACGGUAUGGCAAGUCUGAAGUGAAAUGUCGGGGCUCAACCCCGAAACUGCUUUGGAAACUGUCAAACUCGAGUGUCGGAGGGGUAAGCGGAAUUCCUAGUGUAGCGGUGAAAUGCGUAGAUAUUAGGAGGAACACCGGCGGCGAAGGCGGCUUACUGGACGAUAACUGACGUUGAGGCUCGAAAGCGUGGGGAG